This 301-nucleotide ribosomal RNA is filed under the name uncultured bacterium. RNAcentral describes it as "partial 16S ribosomal RNA". It matches the Rfam family "Bacterial small subunit ribosomal RNA", at positions 509 to 807 of the family's 1533-position model. The record is from RNAcentral.
CAGCCGCCACGGGAACACGUAGGGUGCAAGCGUUAAUCGGAAUUACUGGGCGUAAAGCGUGCGUAGGCGGUUUGUUAAGUCUGUUGUGAAAUCCCCGGGCUCAACCUGGGAAUGGCAAUGGAUACUGGCAAGCUAGAGUGUGUCAGAGGAUGGUGGAAUUCCCGGUGUAGCGGUGAAAUGCGUAGAGAUCGGGAGGAACAUCAGUGGCGAAGGCGGCCAUCUGGGACAACACUGACGCUGAGGCACGAAAGCGUGGGGAGCAAACAGGAUUAGAUACCCGCGUAGUCCCUGUCUCUUAUAC